Long non-coding RNA from Oncorhynchus tshawytscha (Chinook salmon), 4572 nucleotides. The record is from Ensembl. Lineage: Eukaryota; Metazoa; Chordata; Actinopteri; Salmoniformes; Salmonidae.
GACGGAAGCUAAACUGUUACAUUUAUACUGUGUUCUAUAUAAAGCUUGUUUUGCCUACUGUAGGAUCAUGUUGGUUUUGGAUUGUUGCUAGCUUUCAGGAUUCUUAAAGUGUUGUAGGUUUACUUUGGUCACUGGAACCUGGACUAGUGUAGGUCUGUGUGAACAGAAAAGGAUCUGUCUGUAUGGUGUGACUGUGCUUCCAUUGACCUUGUUCUGGUCAAUAAGACUUGUGUCCCUCUCAACCGUACUGUUCUGGGUUUCACUGGAAAUAACCGAUCCCUUUACACACACUUGACCCUUUCUGAUCAGCCACACUGGCAGAAUCACACGUACGCACACACUCACAAACAAACAAACAAACAAAGCAUCAUCAAUGGAUGGAAAGAAGCAGAUCAGAGAGAGAGGGAGAGUGGAACAUAUCAGCUUACCACUGACCAUGUAAACUGAGUCUAACUGGUUUAGGGCUGUUGCCAUUACACACAUGUUUUCAUGGGUUUGCACGACAUCGUAUGUCUUGGUCAAGUUAUGAUCACACCUGAUCUGUUGUGUUGUGUGUCAGCAAAUGUCAGAGCAGUCGUGUGUGUGUGUGUGUGUGUGUGUGUGUGUGUGUGUGUGUGUACCAAGCCACUAGACUGACCAUGCUCUUAUCAGCACGUGGCACAGUGAAGACGCCAAGCCACUAGACUGACCAUGCUCUUAUCAGCACGUGGCACAGUGAAGACGCCAAGCCACUAGACUGACCAUGCUCUUAUCAGCACGUGGCACAAGGAAGACGCCAAGCCACUAGACUGACCAUGCUCUUAUCAGCACGUGGCACAGUGAAGACGCCAAGCCACUCGACUGACCAUGCUCUUAUCAGCACGUGGCACAGUGAAGACGCACUAGAAGCCACUCGACUGACCAUGCUCUUAUCAGCACGUGGCACAGUGAAGACGCCAAGCCACUAGACUGACCAUGCUCUUAUCAGCACGUGGCACAGUGAAGACGCCAAGCCACUAGACUGACCAUGCUCUUAUCAGCACGUGGCACAGUGAAUACGCCAAGCCACUAGACUGACCAUGCUCUUAUCAGCACGUGGCACAGUGAAGACGCCAAGCCACUAGACUGACCAUGCUCUUAUCAGCACGUGGCACAGUGAAGACGCCAUACUCCCCUGAACAUGCUCUUAUCAGCACGUGGCACAGUAAAGACGCCAUACUCCCCUGAACGACCACUACAUUGGUCCCUCCAUGUCUACAGGUUCUCUUCCUUCAUUCAAAACAUGUUGUAUCACUAAAUUGACCCCAACCCUGCUGUGUAGCUCUAUAGUGCUUUAUAGUUUGCUUGAGUAAUUCAUGGAUUGAUAGAUUGAUUGACAACCCUAGUUCUGUAGUGCUGUCCCCUCCUCUCUCUCUCUCAAUCCUCCAUCUCUCUCUUUAUAACCCCCCUUAUCCCCUCUGUGUGCAAUGUCCCGGGUCCCUCUCAGUUCAUUCAUGCGGAUCCAGGAAGUGCAUUCCUCGCCACAUCCCCAGGCUAUGCUCCAUCACACCACCCAUUCCUGCCACCCUAUCACACACAGCACUGCCCAGUAGUUUCUAGAUGGCCACGCUAGAAAGGACAGAAGUGACAAUAUCAUCAGAACUGAUGAGCAUGUGCAUAAAUGAUACGUGUCAUUGACUAGAUAAAAGACAGAAGUUUGGCCCAUGUCAUUGACUAGGUAAAAGACAGAAGUUUGGCCCAUGUCAUUGACUAGAUAAAAGACAGAAGUUUGGCCCAUGUUAUUGACUAGGUAAAAUAUUGUGAAGUUUGGCCCAUGUCAUUGACUAGAUAAAAGACAGAAGUUUGGCCCAUGUCAUUGACUAGAUAAAAUACAGAAGUUUGGCCCAUGUCAUUGACUAGAUAAAAGACAGAAGUUUGGCCCAUGUUAUUGACUAGAUAAAAUACUGAGAGGUUUGGCCCAUGUCAUUGACUAGAUAAAAUACUGAGAAGUUUGGCCCAUGUCAUUGACUAGAUAAAAGACAGAAGUUUGGCCCAUGUUAUUGACUAGAUAAAAUACUGAGAAGUUUGGCCCAUGUUAUUGACUAGAUAAAAUUGUCACACCCUGGUCUAAGUAUUUUGUGUUUUUCUUCAUGUAUUGGGUCAGGCCAGGGUGUGGCAUGGGGUUUUUGUAUUGUGGUGUGUUUUGUCUUGGGGUUUUGGUGUGUAUGUAUUGGGAUUGCAGCUAGUGGGGUUAUCUAGCAAAGUCUAUGGCUGUCUGGAGUGGUUCUCAAUCAGAGGCAGGUGUUUUAUCGUUGUCUCUGAUUGGGAACCAUAUUUAGGCAGCCAUAUUCUUUGAGUUUGUCGUGGGUGAUUGUCCUUAGUGUCCUUGUUCCUGUCUGUGUUAGGUUACACAAUUAUAGGCUGUUUCGGUUUUCGUUACGUUUAUUGUUUUUGUAGUGUUUGUUAUUGAUUCGUGUUUUACGUUCGUUAUUAAACAUGGAUCGCAAUCUACACGCUGCAUUUUGGUCCGAUCCUUGUUCUACCUCUUCGUCAGAGGAGGAGAUAGAAGAGAGCCGUAACAGAAUCACCCACCACAAACGGACCAAGCAGCGUGUAAACAGGCAGGAGCCACAGGAGAGGCAACAGAGGCAGCAGCAGCAGCAGCAGCAGCAGUGGGAGAGGCUGCACUAUUUGGAGGAAUUGGAAGGAAGAGGACCCUGGGCUCAGCCAGGAGAAUAUCGCCGCCCCAAAGAAGAACUGGAGGCGGCGAAAGCGGCGAGGCGCUGGUAUGAGGAGGCAGUGCGGCGUCGUGGAUGGAAGCCCGAGAGUCAGCCCCAAAAAUGUAUUGGGGGGGGCUCACAGGAAGUAGGGCGAAGCCAGGUAGGCGACCUGCGUCAACUUCCUGUGGUUACCGGGGGGCUAGAGAGACCGGGCAGGCACCGUGUUAUGCUGUGGAGCGCACGGUGUCUCCAGUGCGGGUGCACAGCCCGGUGCGGUACAUUCCAGCUCCGCGUAUCGGCCGGGCUAGAGUGGGCAUCGAGCCAAGUGACAUGGCACCAGCCUUGCGCACGGUGUCCCAGGUUCGCCUGCAUAGCCCAGUGCGGGCUAUUCCACCUUGCCGCACUGGCAGGGCGACCGGGACCAUUCAACCGGGUAAGGUUGGGCAGGCUCGGUGCUCAAGAGCUCCAGUGCGCCUGCACGGCCCGGUCUAUCCGUCACCACCUCCACGCACCAGCCCUCCGGUGGCAGUCCCCCGCACCAGGCUGUCUCUCCGGUCCAUCCUUACGGGGGCUCCCUCCUCUCCAGCACUGCCGGAGCCUUCCUCCUCUCCAGCGCUGCUGGAGUCUCCCGCCUGUUCAGCGCAGCCAGAGCUGCCAGCCUGCAUGGAGCAGCCAGAGCUGUCAGUCUGCAUGAAGCAGCCAGAGCUGUCAGUCUGCAUGAAGCAGCCAGAGCUGUCAGCCUGCAUGGAGCAGCCAGAGCUGUCGGUCUGCAUGGAGCAGCCAGAGCUGUCGGUCUGCAUGGAGCAGCCAGAGCUGUCAGUCUGCAUGGAGCAGCCAGAGAUGUCAGUCUGCAUGAAGCAGCCAGAGAUGCCAGUCUGCACGGAGCUGCCAGUCUGCAAGGAGCUGCCAGUCUGCAAGGAGCUGCCAGUCUGCAAGGAGCUGCCAGUCUGCAAGGAGCUGCCAGUCUGCAAGGAGCUGUCAGUCUGCAAGGAGCUGUCAGUCUGUAAGGAGCUGUCAGUCUGUAAGGAGCUGCCAGUCUGCAAGGAGCUGCCAGUCUGCACGGAGCCGCCAGAGCUGCCAGUCUGUAAGAAGCCGCCAGAGCUGUCAGCCUACAUGGAGCAGCCAGAGCCGCCAGUCAGCGUGGAGCAGCCAGAGCCGCCAGUCAGCUUGGAGCAGCCAGAUCUUUCAGUCUGCCAGGAUCCGCCAGUCGGCCAGACUCUUCCAGAUCCGCCAGUCAGCCAGACUCUUCCAGAUCUGCCAGACUCUUCCAGAUCUGCCAGUCAGCCAGACUCUUCCAGAUCUGCCAGUCAGCCAGACUCUUCCAGAUCUGCCAGUCAGCCAGACUCUUCCAGAUCUGCCAGUCAGCCAGACUCUUCCAGAUCCGCCAGUUUACCAGACUCUUCCAGAUCCGCCAGUCAACCAGACUCUUCCAGAUCCGCCAGUCAACCAGACUCUUCCAGAUCUGCCAGUCAGCCAGACUCUUCCAGAUCUGCCAGUCAGCCAGACUCUUCCAGAUCCGCCAGUCAGCCAGACUCUUCCAGAUCCGCCAGUCAGCCAGACUCUUCCAGAUCCGCCAGUCAGCCAGACUCUUCCAGAUCCGCCAGUCAGCCAGACUCUUCCAGAUCCGCCAGUCAGCCAGACUCUUCCAGAUCCGCCAGUCUACCAGACUCUUCCAGAUCCGCCAGUCUACCAGACUCUUCCAGAUCCGCCAGUCAACCAGAUCCGCCAGUCAACCAGACUCUUCCAGAUCCGCCAGUCAACCAGACUCUUCCAGAUCCGCCAGUCAGCCAGACUCUUCCAGAUCCGCCAGUCAGCCAGACUCUUCCAGAUCCGCCAGUCAGCCAGACUCUUCCAGAUCCGCCAGUCAGCCGGGAUCUGCCAGAUCUGCCAGUCG